Molecule: ribosomal RNA, 425 nt
Filed under: uncultured bacterium
Lineage: Bacteria
Description: partial 16S ribosomal RNA
Rfam family: Bacterial small subunit ribosomal RNA
Source: RNAcentral
GUGGGGAAUAUUGGACAAUGGGCGAAAGCCUGAUCCAGCAAUGCCGCGUGAGUGAUGAAGGCCUUAGGGUUGUAAAGCUCUUUUACCAGGGAUGAUAAUGACAGUACCUGGAGAAUAAGCUCCGGCUAACUCCGUGCCAGCAGCCGCGGUAAUACGGAGGGAGCUAGCGUUGUUCGGAAUUACUGGGCGUAAAGCGCACGUAGGCGGUUACUCAAGUCAGAGGUGAAAGCCCGGGGCUCAACCCCGGAACUGCCUUUGAAACUAGGUAACUAGAAUCUUGGAGAGGUCAGUGGAAUUCCGAGUGUAGAGGUGAAAUUCGUAGAUAUUCGGAAGAACACCAGUGGCGAAGGCGACUGACUGGACAAGUAUUGACGCUGAGGUGCGAAAGCGUGGGGAGCAAACAGUAUUAGAAACCCUGGUAGUCC